Molecule: long non-coding RNA, 482 nt
Organism: Catharus ustulatus (Swainson's thrush)
Lineage: Eukaryota; Metazoa; Chordata; Aves; Passeriformes; Turdidae
Exons: 3
Source: RefSeq, a predicted model, not a curated record
UCCCGCUAAACCGAGCGGUGAGUCCGCGCUGCUGGGCCGCCCCUAGAACUUGCGCGGGUCCGUGUCUUUUCCUCUGCGUGGGAGGGAACGAUGGAUGAAUGAAUUUGAGAGAUUUUUCUCCCCCCCUUCCACUAUUUCAUAAUGUCUAUUAAGAUACUACAAAGAAAGGAGGACACCCACCCACCUAAUUAUUUUCUUCCACGUCGAUGAUCCCAUGGCCAGGGGAGUAAGAAGAGGGGAAUAAAUGUUUGGCAUGAUGCAGAGUGCAUUAGGACCAAGGAAGCCAGCACCCGUGAGAAGAGACAGCCCUACCACAGUAUGAAAGUGCCUCCACUGGGGAUAGAGUCAAGUGGGCACCCUGUGCAUGGGCAGAUCUUCCAUCUGUUGUGUGGACCCUCCAUCCCAGGCUCCUUUGGCAAAAUAUCUGGAAGAUGACUUCAAAGCAGCUGAAGCCUGAUGUACACACAGCAACAAAAGAGGAA